Molecule: unclassified non-coding RNA, 244 nt
Filed under: plant metagenome
Description: partial contains small subunit ribosomal RNA, internal transcribed spacer 1, and 5.8S ribosomal RNA
Source: RNAcentral
UCUCCGUUGGGGAACCAGCGGAGGGAUCAUUACCGAGUUUACAACUCCCAAACCCAAUGUGAACCAUACCAAACUGUUGCCUCGGCGGGGUCACGCCCCGGGUGCGUCGCAGCCCCGGAACCAGGCGCCCGCCGGAGGGACCAACCAAACUCUUUCUGUAGUCCCCUCGCGGACGUUAUUUUUACAGCUCUGAGCAAAAAUUCAAAAUGAAUCAAAACUUUCAACGACGGAUCUCUUGGUUCUG